AAGAGAACAAUGAAAGAAAGGGUGAACUCAACUAGCCCAGUAAGAAAUAUUAUGACUAAGAUAAUAUACAACAAAUUAUCGUUAGUCUUCAACAGGGAAAAAUCUGAUAUAGCAGACAACAAGUUUUAGAUCAACAACUGCAGCGGAAACAACAAUCCAUUAGAAGAGUCAAGUAGAGAAAGAAUUCUACUAUCUUCUAAGAUUUAAAAGUUCAUCAUCAAUAUUUUAUCCUUGUAACAUCAAUUAAUAUACAUCUUUAAUCAAAUAUUCAUCUUUGCACUACAGGCCAAAGAUAUUCAUUUGUAU
RNAcentral lists this long non-coding RNA (306 nucleotides) under Panax ginseng (ginseng). Its description in RNAcentral is "long non-coding RNA (PGIN_LNC001846)". Lineage: Eukaryota; Viridiplantae; Streptophyta; Magnoliopsida; Apiales; Araliaceae. The record is from RNAcentral.